RNAcentral lists this ribosomal RNA (325 nucleotides) under uncultured eukaryote. Its description in RNAcentral is "partial 18S ribosomal RNA". It matches the Rfam family "Eukaryotic small subunit ribosomal RNA", at positions 1470 to 1796 of the family's 1831-position model. The record is from RNAcentral.
CCCUUAGAUGUUCUGGGCCGCACGCGCGCUACACUGAUGCAUUCAACGAGCCUAUCCUUGACCGACAGGUCCGGGUAAUCUUUGAAUCUGCAUCGUGACGGGGAUAGAUUAUUGCAAUUAUUAAUCUUCAACGAGGAAUGCCUAGUAGGCGCAAGUCAUCAGCUUGCGUCGAUUACGUCCCUGCCCUUUGUACACACCGCCCGUCGCUCCUACCGAUUGGGUGUGCUGGUGAAAUGUUCGGAUCGGCCGUUUGUCGCGGUUUCCGCGUCAUGUGGCUGAGAAGUUCAUUAAAGCCGCCCACCGAGAGGAAGGAGAAGUCGUAACA